This 348-nucleotide ribosomal RNA is filed under the name uncultured soil bacterium. RNAcentral's name for it is "bacterial SSU rRNA". It matches the Rfam family "Bacterial small subunit ribosomal RNA", at positions 26 to 385 of the family's 1533-position model. The record is from RNAcentral.
AGAUUGAACGCUGGCGGCAUGCCUAACACAUGCAAGUCGAACGGGAGUAGCAAUACUCUAGUGGCGGACGGGUGAGGAAUACGUAGGAAUUUGCCCUUAAGUGGGGGAUAACCCGGGGAAACCCGGAUUAAUACCGCAUGACCUCGAAAGAGCAAAGUGGGGGAUCGCAAGACCUCACGCUUUUGGAGAAGCCUACGUCGGAUUAGCUAGUUGGUGGGUAAAGGCCUACCAAGGCGACGAUCCAUAGCUGGUCUGAGAGGAUGAUCAGCCACACUGGGACUGAGACACGGCCCAGACUCCUACGGGAGGCAGCAGGUGGGGAAUAGUUGGACAAUGGGCGCAAGCCUG